AGCGGCGGACGGGUGAGUAAAGCGUGGGUAACCUGCCCUAUACACACGGAUAACAUACCGAAAGGUAUGCUAAUACGGGAUAAUAUAAGAGAUUCGCAUGGAUUUCUUAUCAAAGCUGAGGCGGUAUAGGAUGGACCCGCGUCUGAUUAGCUAGUUGGUAAGGUAACGGCCUACCAAGGCGACGAUCAGUAGCCGACCUGAGAGGGUGAUCGGCCACAUUGGAACUGAGACACGGUCCAAACUCCUACGGGAGGCAGCAAUGGGGAAUAUUGCACAAUGGGCGAAAGCCUGAUGCAGCAACGCCGCGUGAGUGAUGAAGGCCUUCGGGUCGUAAAACUCUGUCCUCAAGGAAGAUAAUGACGGUACUUGAGGAGGAAGCCCCGGCUAACUACGUGCCAGCAGCCGCGGUAAUACGUAGGGGGCUAGCGUUAUCCGGAUUUACUGGGCGUAAAGGGUGCGUAGGUGGUCUCUUAAGUCAGGAGUGAAAGGCUACGGCUUAACCGAAGUAAGCUCUUGAAACUGGGAGACUUGAGUGCAGGAGAGGAAAGUGGAAUUCCUAGUGUAGCGGUGAAAUGCGUAGAUAUUAGGAGGAACACCAGUAGCGAAGGCGGCUUUCUGGACUGUAACUGACACUGAGGCACGAAAGCGUGGGGAGCAAACAGGAUUAGAUACCCUGGUAGUCCACGCCGUAAACGAUGAGUACUAGGUGU
This 710-nucleotide ribosomal RNA is filed under the name uncultured bacterium. RNAcentral's name for it is "bacterial SSU rRNA". It matches the Rfam family "Bacterial small subunit ribosomal RNA", at positions 94 to 823 of the family's 1533-position model. The record is from RNAcentral.